UCCCGGAUGUUAGCGGCGGACGGGUGAGUAACACGUGGGUAACCUGCCUGUAAGACUGGGAUAACUCCGGGAAACCGGAGCUAAUACCGGAUAGUUCCUUGAACCGCAUGGUUCAAGGAUGAAAGACGGUUUCGGCUGUCACUUACAGAUGGACCCGCGGCGCAUUAGCUAGUUGGUGGGGUAAUGGCUCACCAAGGCGACGAUGCGUAGCCGACCUGAGAGGGUGAUCGGCCACACUGGGACUGAGACACGGCCCAGACUCCUACGGGAGGCAGCAGUAGGGAAUCUUCCGCAAUGGACGAAAGUCUGACGGAGCAACGCCGCGUGAGUGAUGAAGGUUUUCGGAUCGUAAAGCUCUGUUGUUAGGGAAGAACAAGUGCGAGAGUAACUGCUCGCACCUUGACGGUACCUAACCAGAAAGCCACGGCUAACUACGUGCCAGCAGCCGCGGUAAUACGUAGGUGGCAAGCGUUGUCCGGAAUUAUUGGGCGUAAAGGGCUCGCAGGCGGUUUCUUAAGUCUGAUGUGAAAGCCCCCGGCUCAACCGGGGAGGGUCAUUGGAAACUGGGAAACUUGAGUGCAGAAGAGGAGAGUGGAAUUCCACGUGUAGCGGUGAAAUGCGUAGAGAUGUGGAGGAACACCAGUGGCGAAGGCGACUCUCUGGUCUGUAACUGACGCUGAGGAGCGAAAGCGUGGGGAGCGAACAGGAUUAGAUACCCUGGUAGUCCACGCCGUAAACGAUGAGUGCUAAGUGUUAGGGGGUUUCCGCCCCUUAGUGCUGCAGCUAACGCAUUAAGCACUCCGCCUGGGGAGUACGGUCGCAAGACUGAAACUCAAAGGAAUUGACGGGGGCCCGCACAAGCGGUGGAGCAUGUGGUUUAAUUCGAAGCAACGCGAAGAACCUUACCAGGUCUUGACAUCCUCUGACAACCCUAGAGAUAGGGCUUUCCCUUCGGGGACAGAGUGACAGGUGGUGCAUGGUUGUCGUCAGCUCGUGUCGUGAGAUGUUGGGUUAAGUCCCGCAACGAGCGCAACCCUUGAUCUUAGUUGCCAGCAUUCAGUUGGGCACUCUAAGGUGACUGCCGGUGACAAACCGGAGGAAGGUGGGGAUGACGUCAAAUCAUCAUGCCCCUUAUGACCUGGGCUACACACGUGCUACAAUGGACAGAACAAAGGGCUGCGAGACCGCAAGGUUAAGCCAAUCCCAUAAAUCUGUUCUCAGUUCGGAUCGCAGUCUGCAACUCGACUGCGUGAAGCUGGAA
This 1261-nucleotide ribosomal RNA is filed under the name Bacillus pumilus. RNAcentral's name for it is "bacterial SSU rRNA". It matches the Rfam family "Bacterial small subunit ribosomal RNA", at positions 83 to 1331 of the family's 1533-position model. Lineage: Bacteria; Bacillati; Bacillota; Bacilli; Caryophanales; Bacillaceae. The record is from RNAcentral.